UCCAGACUCCUACGGGAGGUAGCAGUGGGGAAUAUUGCACAAUGGGGGGAACCCUGAUGCAGCGACGCCGCGUGGGUGAAGGAGCGUUUCGGCGCGUAAAGCCCUAUCGGCAGGGAAGAAGGAGGACGGUACCUGACUAAGAAGCCCCGGCUAACUACGUGCCAGCAGCCGCGGUAAUACGUAGGGGGCAAGCGUUAAUCGGAAUUACUGGGCGUAAAGCGCUCGUAGGCGGUAUGUCAAGUCAAGGGUGAAAUCCCCGCGCUCAACGUGGGAACUGCCUUUGAAACUGGCAAACUGGAGUGUGUGAGAGGAUAGUGGAAUUCCAGGUGUAGGAGUGAAAUCCGUAGAUAUCUGGAGGAACAUCAGUGGCGAAGGCGACUAUCUGGCACAUAACUGACGCUGAGGAGCGAAAGCGUGGGUAGCAAACAGGAUUAGAUACCCGGGUAAA
Molecule: ribosomal RNA, 448 nt
Filed under: uncultured bacterium
Lineage: Bacteria
Description: partial 16S ribosomal RNA
Rfam family: Bacterial small subunit ribosomal RNA
Source: RNAcentral